RNAcentral lists this ribosomal RNA (253 nucleotides) under uncultured bacterium. Its description in RNAcentral is "partial 16S ribosomal RNA". It matches the Rfam family "Bacterial small subunit ribosomal RNA", at positions 524 to 776 of the family's 1533-position model. The record is from RNAcentral.
GACAGAGGGUGCAAACGUUGUUCGGAAUUACUGGGCGUAAAGCGCGUGUAGGCGGCUUUGUAAGUCGGGUGUGAAAGCCCUGGGCUCAACCCAGGAAGUGCAUUCGAUACUACGGAGCUGGAGUCUCGGAGAGGAUAGCGGAAUUCUCGGUGUAGAGGUGAAAUUCGUAGAUAUCGAGAGGAACACCGGUGGCGAAGGCGGCUAUCUGGACGGUGACUGACGCUGAGACGCGAAAGCGUGGGGAGCGAACAGG